CCUACGGGAGGCAGCAGCAAGGGAUUUUGUGCAAUGGGCGAAAGCCUGACACAGCAACGCCGCGUGAGGGAAUAAGGCCUUCGGGUUGUAAACCUCUUUUCUCAGGGAAGAAUAAUGACGGUACCUGAGGAAUAAGUCUCGGCUAACUACGUGCCAGCAGCCGCGGUAAUACGUAGGAGGCGAGCGUUAUCCGGAUUUACUGGGCGUAAAGGGGGCGCAGGCGGCUUUUCAAGUCGGGUGUAAAAUCUCCCCGCUCAACGGGGAGGGAUCAUUCGAUACUGUUGAGCUAGAGGGCAGCAGAGGGAGGUGGAAUUCCCGGUGGAGUGGUGAUAUGCGUAGAUAUCGGGAAGAACACCAGUGGCGAAGGCGGCCUCCCAGGCUGUUUCUGACGCUGAGGCCCGAAAGCGCGGGGAGCGAACAGGAUUAGAUACCCUAGUAGUCC
This 442-nucleotide ribosomal RNA is filed under the name uncultured bacterium. Its description in RNAcentral is "bacterial SSU rRNA". It matches the Rfam family "Bacterial small subunit ribosomal RNA", at positions 338 to 796 of the family's 1533-position model. The record is from RNAcentral.